GGGGGGGGGGGGCUAUUGCAUCACAUCCAGACACAGGUGCAUUGAGAGGAUCUGCAGCGAAAAUAUUUGAAGAAACGCUUAUACGUCCGGCCAAAUCACUCCGUUAAAAGUCAAUGGCUCCUUAUAUGAUCCAACUCUGAAACCUGGGAACCCCUCAGGACCGCUGGAGCAGUGCGGCGCGGGGAGGCCAGGGUCACCUUCUCCAUGGACGCCUUCGUGCGCAUCCUGCAGCCUGAGCGCUAUGAGCUGUGGAAGCGCGGGCAGGACCGGGCUGCUGUGGACCACACGGAGCCCACGGCCGCGGACAGCCGGGAGCUGAGCGCCUGGCGGGGCUUCUGCCCGGAGUCCCCAGCCAGCGGGCAGACGGGGUCCGCGUCAGCGUCUUCGGAACAGGAGGCUCUGCUCUCGGGGAGUCUGCUUCCAGGAGCCGACCGCCCACGCCGGGGCGAGAUGCGCCUCUCGGUGGGCGCAAGGGGCCCAGCUCCGGCCCUGGGCUCGGCCCCCCCGCAGUGCUGGCGACCGGAGCCCUGACACCUGUCGUGCGCUAAAGCUCCCACAGCCCCGAGUCCUUGAACGGCGCCUGGACCUCGUUUCCUCCCAUCCCUCCCAGACUUUCCUGGUUGCCUCCUAGUGUCACGACGUGACGCAGGUAACAAUCAUUUGAGUUCUAGGCCAAAGCUGAAUUUGCAAAGCACUACUAUGUUUUGGACAGAGUUCUCCAAAAACGCCACUGAACUCUGCUGAAUUCUGGAUCCCUGGCCAUUAGCAGCCUAAGUUCCCGAUUUCCUUUGCACCUCUGAGCUUGUGGUUAGAAAGACUAGGUUUGGCAUCAACCAGGUUGGAAUCCUAGCUCUGUCACUCACGGCAACGUAUGGGCCCUUGAGCAAUUCACCCUCUCAGAGCUGCCGUGUCCUGCCUGUAAUAUGGGAUCCUAUGCCCACCUCACAGAUUGCUGUGAGGAUCUUCUUAGCUAAUGCUUUAAGCCAUCUUUUAACAGUGCCUGCCCAGUACUAUCAUAGGCCCAACUAACGGUAAUUAACAUUUUAUCUUGACUGCUCCCGUAGGGACCACCUGGGAAUAUGGGCUCUGCAUAAUCUUUGGAAAAGUCUAGGUCAGAAUGAGAAAGAUUUUAGAUGAGCUCUUAGAAUAAAAAUAGAAGAGAAAGUCCAAAGGACACCUAUCAUCACUAUCUGGGAAGGGGGCUGAAAGUCAUACUCAUGAUAUUAAGACAAGAGCUUUGUCAGGCACCGGAAGUGUGUCAGUGUGUGUGUUGCCUCCUUCCGCUCUCCUGCAACUGUAAGGAGUGAAGCCUUUGUUUUUCUGGAGCAGCGAGGAAAUGGGGAGGUAGACAAUUUUCUCUGUCUCCACCCAGGCUUGGAGACAGAAGAAGGAGAUGGUGUGUCCAUGAAGAGGCAGGAAGAUGGUGCUCGGUCCCUGGGAAUGCACAGUGGGCAAGAAAGGAGACUUGGCGAAGCCUGCCUGGGCCUAGAGGGGUCAGAUCUGCAAACUAACUACAGCAGAGACUCUGUGCCUUUCCUCAUCAAAUGCUGGUGAGGCUAUUCUGAGAGGGACUUGUUUCUCUGAACAGACAACCAGAACUGUGGGGAGGCUCUGGUGUCUGGCAAUGCCCAGCGUAGGGGCUGUGUGGGUUCUGCCUGCCUCCUGUUUGGGCUUUCGGUGUGAGACGGGCCUUGGGAUGGUGGGUGACACAGCAUCUUUGGGGUUGUGAGACUUGCCGUUGGCCAAGGAAGACAGUCAGUCCUGUGGGUGGAGAAAACUCUGUGGUAAUUGGAGUUACGGGGGACAUCUUGCAGCACAUAAGAUGCGACUUUAAAAGAUUUAAGCCAUUGCAGUGAAGACACCAGGAAGGGAGUUCGAGCACUGUAGUUAGGGCCUAGUCCUGGAGAGCAUAAAGCUUUCUGCUUCAGCUUCUACCACUACCUGCCUCCCCACCUCUCUGCAUUUCUGCACCUUCUGGCUACUUCAGCCCUCCCGUUAGGCCUGCUUCAGGCUGCUGGCUGUGACAGUUGAGCCAGGUGGCCUGGCCCUGGGCCACCCCCAUGGUGUCGCUGGGCUGCGAGGCAGUCUCCUUUGAUCUAACUCCAGAGCUGCAAAGGCUUGCCGACCUCGCCAUCACACAGACAGUGACUCCCCAGGGUGACUCCCGGGAAGGUUGGGUCUCUGCUUGUCCAGUACAGAUGGCCUCUGUCCUCGGUACGGGAAAUUCCAGGAAGGCUGUCACUCUGGAUAGUUAUCAUGACUCUCUAUUGAUUCCUCUUCCCUACUUUCUCCCCUGUAGCUUCUGACUUUUCUUUUCUUUUGUAAGGUUUUAUUUAUUUAUUCAUGGGAGACACAGAGACAAAGAGGCAGAGGUAGAGGCAGAGGGAGAAACAGGCCCCCUACGGGGAGCCUGAUAUGGAACUCAAUCCUUGGACCCCGGGAUCAUGACAUGAGCUGAAGGCAGAUGCUUAACCACUGAGCCACUCAGGUGCCCCCUGACUUUUCUUUUAAUGGUAAAGGAAAUAAAUGAUCUUGCUGUUGAGGUGGCUUCAUACUUUCUCUCUGUCUACAAACUCAGUUCAUCCGUAUACCUGCUCUGGAUGCAUAUGUGCAAAGUUGACUCUGAAGCAUAAUAUAUUUAGUAAAGCAAACCUUUCCCUAGUCACUGUUUUUCCCUUGCUAGCAGUGACUUAAUGGGGAGAACCGGACCUAGAGUCAGGGAAUGUCAUUUGGAUCUCUGCGGUGCCACCUCCUAGUCUGUGACCUGCAGCAAGAGCUCACUGAUUUCCUGUGAGCCAAAAUUAUAGUGCAAGAGUUCUGUACAAUGCUGUGGGAUGUCCUUGUGAGGGACACUUAGGAGGCACUCACUUCAUUUGGAUGUGCAUCAAGCACCCUCACUGCCUCUAGGGCAAGCACAAGGUCAGGGACACACUCUCAGAUUCUCUCUUUCCAAGCUGCUUGGUUCUACUGUGGUCCUCACAGGCUUACCGGUGACUUUUUUUUCCUUUUUUCUUUUUUUUAAUGGACUUUAUUAUUAAUUUUUUUGGAGUAGUUCACAGCAAAAUGAAACAGAAAGUACAGAGACCCCCACAUACCUCUUCCCAGCCCCCUCCACCAGCACCACACCAAUGGGGUACAGUUGGUAGAAUUGAUGAAUCUAGAGGCACCUGGGUGGCUCAGUUGAUGAAGCAUCUGCCCUAGGCCCAGGUCAUGAUCCUAGGUCAUGAGUCCCUGGUCAGCAGAGAGCCUGCUUCUCCCUCUCCCUCUGCCCUUCCUCCCAUUCAUGCCCUCUCUCUCAAAUAAGUAAAUAAAAUCUUAAAAAAAAAAAAGAUUGAUGAAUCUGCACUGACAUAUCAAACCAUAGUUCCAUUAGGGUUCACUCUUGGAGAUGUUCAUUCUGUGGGCUUGACAAACGUCUGAUGUCACGUAGAGUUUUACUGCCUAAAAAUCCUCUGUGCUCUGCCUUUUCUGCGCUUCCUCCUCCCAAACCCCUGGCAACCAUGGAUCUUUGUAUUACCCUCAUAGUUUUGCCUUUUCCAGAAUGCCACAUAGUUGACAUCAUACAAUAUGUAGCCUUUUUAGAUUGACUUCUUUCACUUAGUCAUAUACAUUUAGGCUUCCUCUGUGUCUGGUGGCUUCCUAGCUCAUUUCUUUUUAUUGCCAAAUGAUAUCCAUUGUAUGAAUAUACUAUUGUUUGUGUAUCUACUCUCCUACUGAAGGUCAUCUUCUAAGUCUUGGCAAUUAUGAAUAAAACUACUGUAA
This 3762-nucleotide long non-coding RNA is filed under the name Canis lupus familiaris (dog). RNAcentral describes it as "lncRNA (ENSCAFG00000052430.1)". The record is from RNAcentral. Lineage: Eukaryota; Metazoa; Chordata; Mammalia; Carnivora; Canidae.